This 403-nucleotide ribosomal RNA is filed under the name uncultured bacterium. Its description in RNAcentral is "bacterial SSU rRNA". It matches the Rfam family "Bacterial small subunit ribosomal RNA", at positions 356 to 776 of the family's 1533-position model. The record is from RNAcentral.
AGGGAAUAUUGCGCAAUGGGGGAAACCCUGACGCAGCGAUGCCGCGUGAGUGAAGAAGGCCUUAGGGUUGUAAAACUCUUUCAGUGGUGAAGAUAAUGACGGUAACCACAGAAGAAGCUCCGGCUAACUCCGUGCCAGCAGCCGCGGUAAUACGGAGGGGGCUAACGUUGUUCGGAAUUACUGGGCGUAAAGCGCGCGUAGGCGGAUUAGACAGUUGGGGGUGAAAUCCCGGAGCUUAACUUCGGAACUGCCUUCAAUACUACUAAUCUAGAGUUCGGAAGAGGUGAGUGGAAUUCCUAGUGUAGAGGUGAAAUUCGUAGAUAUUAGGAAGAACAUCAGAGGCGAAGGCGGCUCACUGGUCCGAUACUGACGCUGAGGUGCGAAAGCGUGGGGAGCAAACAGG